RNAcentral lists this ribosomal RNA (382 nucleotides) under Pusia lauta. Its description in RNAcentral is "partial 12S ribosomal RNA". It matches the Rfam family "Bacterial small subunit ribosomal RNA", at positions 875 to 1384 of the family's 1533-position model. The record is from RNAcentral. Lineage: Eukaryota; Metazoa; Mollusca; Gastropoda; Neogastropoda; Costellariidae.
UCUUGGAAGUAAAAAGAGAAAUCUACCAGAGUACUACGAAUUUAAAGAAUUUAAAACUCAAAGGGCUUGGCGGUGCUUUAGACCUUUUAGGGGAACCUGUCUUAUAAUCGACAAUCCGCGUUAAACCUAACCUUUUUUUGCACACAGUUUGUAUACCGUCGUCGUCAGGUAACUUUUAAAAAUUUAAUAGUUAGCAUAAAAAGCUGAAUAAUUUUAAACGUCAGAUCAMGGUGCAACUAAUGAAAAGGUUAAGAUGGGUUACAAUUAUAUGUUAAUAAAACACGAAUAGUUGAWUGAMAAAUCUUCUUGAAGGAGGACUUGAAAGUAAAGAUAUUUAUAUUUAUGUAUAGAUAUAUAUAUUGAAUAAGGCUCUGAAGCGUGC